Molecule: long non-coding RNA, 494 nt
Filed under: Vigna radiata
Lineage: Eukaryota; Viridiplantae; Streptophyta; Magnoliopsida; Fabales; Fabaceae
Description: long non-coding RNA (VRAD_LNC008302)
Source: RNAcentral
GGGUUGUAUGGGGAAAGUGAAAGGCAAAAGAAAGAAAAAGCAUUGAGUUCAAAAGUUGAAAAAGAAAAAUGCAUGAGAAAGAAAAGAAAAGAAGAAAAGAAAAAGCAUGUAAAGUGAUCUCAAUGUAAAAAUAAAGGAAAAAGGGAAGAAGUUGGGAAUGAGUGAGUUUGGUUAAAAAGAGAGUGUGCUUGAACUUUGAAUGAUGAUUUAAACUCUUUUAACUCAAGGAUUUUGUAUUCCAGAAAAACCAAUUUUUCUUGAUAGCCCAGCCUCAUUAUAAGCCUUGGAAAAGUCCUUUUGAUGACAUUUGCAUGUGAAGAUUUUGGUUGUUUUAGAUGAAUGGCAAUAUUGUUUUAUGUGACAUGUGAACAGUAGAGAGUAGAGUGACCUCCUAAACACUUGAGUGAUUGAGUGAAAUACUUGCUUGGUGAGAAUUUUUGAAAUCCAUGUUUACAUCUAUGCUUAGUGGAUUAGUCAUUCAUGAACAAAACAUC